GAUGAACGCUGGCGGCGUGCCUAAUACAUGCAAGUCGAGCGAAAAGACGAGGAGAUUGCUCCUCUGACGUUAGCGGCGGACGGGUGAGUAACACGUGGAUAACCUACCUCUAUGACUGGGGUAACUUCGGGAAACCGGAGCUAAUAAUGGAUAAUAUAUUCAACCGCAUGGUUCAAUAGUGAAAGACGGUUUUGCUGACACUUAUAGAUGGAUCCGCGCCGCAUUAGCUAGUUGGUAAGGUAACGGCCUACCAAGGCAACGAUGCGUAGCCGACCUGAGAGGGUGAUCAGCCACACUGGAACUGAGACACGGUCCAGACUCCUACGGGAGGCAGCAGUAGGGAAUCUUCGGCAAUGGGCGAAAGCCUGACGGAGCAACACCGCGUGAGUGAUGAAGGUCUUCGGAUCGUAAAACUCUGUUAUUAGGGAAGAAAAAAUGUGUAAGUAACCAUGGACGUCUUGACGGUACCUAAUCAGAAAGCCACGGCUAACUACGUG
This 497-nucleotide ribosomal RNA is filed under the name uncultured bacterium. RNAcentral describes it as "partial 16S ribosomal RNA". It matches the Rfam family "Bacterial small subunit ribosomal RNA", at positions 28 to 507 of the family's 1533-position model. The record is from RNAcentral.